AGGCGCUUAGCUCAGUUGGUUAGAGCGCUUCCUUCACACGGAAGAGGUCCGCGGUUCGAGUCCGCGAGCGCCUACCA
This 77-nucleotide transfer RNA is filed under the name Pseudomonadota bacterium. RNAcentral describes it as "tRNA-Val". It matches the Rfam family "tRNA". From Rfam's summary of the family: Transfer RNA (tRNA) molecules are approximately 80 nucleotides in length. Their secondary structure includes four short double-helical elements and three loops (D, anti-codon, and T loops). Further hydrogen bonds mediate the characteristic L-shaped molecular structure. tRNAs have two regions of fundamental functional importance: the anti-codon, which is responsible for specific mRNA codon recognition, and the 3' end, to which the tRNAs corresponding amino acid is attached (by aminoacyl-tRNA synthetases). tRNAs cope with the degeneracy of the genetic code in two manners: having more than one tRNA (with a specific anti-codon) for a particular amino acid; and 'wobble' base-pairing, i.e. permitting non-standard base-pairing at the 3rd anti-codon position. The record is from RNAcentral. Lineage: Bacteria; Pseudomonadati; Pseudomonadota. RNAcentral also lists the same sequence under 4 other names.